Biomphalaria glabrata is the source of this 373-nucleotide long non-coding RNA. RefSeq lists it as uncharacterized. The transcript has 3 exons. Lineage: Eukaryota; Metazoa; Mollusca; Gastropoda; Planorbidae. The record is from RefSeq and is a predicted model, not a curated record.
ACAUCAGAGAGAAAAAAAAAGGGGGUUAUUUGACACGGUUUUCGUCUGGGUAGUAAUGAGCUCUUCUGUUAAACAAAAUAAGAUUUUUUCGUUGUUACAAUUUUUACAUGAUUUUUAAUUAGAUGGGCCUUAUCCUUAGGCAUAACUAAGUAAAAUCUUUGAAUCAGCUUGUUGACUUUAAAAUCAUUCUGUAUAAAUAAAUAUAGAAAUACUGUAAAAUGUUUGACAUUAUUGUUCUAACAGAAGGUUACACCCAGCUGGACUCACAAGGAACUGUUAGAUCAUGUGGCUCCGUCACACUACUGAAAGGUCCCCACCGCAACAUUAUUGUUAAUACCGGGAACCCUUGGGGAAAGGGACUUACUUCUCAAAG